CUUCAUUACAUAAAGGAUGCAUCAUGCCAACUGGGCAUCAUUUUAUCACCCCUCAUCACAGACGCAAAGGAGAAAGGCUCUUACUGACAAAGCUUAGAACAGACACAAAAUCCCAAGAACUGUUCAGGAAAAGACAGCUAUAUAUGGGCCUGAAGAUGUAAAACACACUACCAGUGGGCUGUGGAAAAAACCCACAGCUGUUCUUUUUAGUGAGCUUUCCCGACAGUACCACAGUGAAAAUAUUGAAGUACCUCAUUGCAGCUUGAGGAGGAUGAAUUCUGGGCUCACCAUUCAGCAACUACAGGAGAAUAAAAAAUUCAUCUUAAGGAUGUCAAGGAUCUUUGGACAGACAGACAUCUAAAGAAGAAGGGAGAACUGUCUGGAAAAAUUAUCAACAAAAGAAACAAUCUGGCAUGACAGUAUAAUUACUUCUACAGGGUAAAAUCUCUCUACCUCUCAAAAUGUUUGUUGUCUUGACUCAAUUAAAAACUAAAUCUGGCUUUGGAGUUGGAUGUAGUUCUCUCUUUCUCUAAACCCAAGCAUGUUCUUAAAAGAAAAUUCAGAGUCUCUGUCUCAUAUCAGAAAAGCCACCUAGUGUGGGACAGAAGAAAACCAAAAUCUAGGGACUAUUGUCAUAAGCCUCUUACUCCUCAAAUUUAUUUUGACUCUUUAGAACUUUUAUUAGGUAUAACACUGUCUUAAAAGUUAAACUUUCCAUUUUGAUAUUAAUGAUGUUUAAGUUUUCCACAAUGAACAAUAAAUUUUCCUAAGAGUGAUCUCUGAAGUUUCCAAAAGCAUGAUGAGGCCCCACAACAAUGAUUCUACCUGGAUCCCUAUAAUACCAUUAAGCCAAUAAACAUCACCUAAAGAUUGGUUUUGGACUACAAACUGCUCAAGACAAUUCUAAGGUGGCUAGCUGAGAUGGUCCACCCUCUUACACACUCCAGCUGAACUUCAAAUAAGCUUUACUCAUUACUCAGAGACUGGCUACAAAUAUUGCAACUAGUUCUACCAAGACUUAACCAUUGUUACAGUCCUUACUACGUCCCAUAGACACUGUUGCCCCACCCUCCCCAGACAGCAGAAAGUAAUUCUAAGAACACAAUGCCCACAUUCCCUAUAUGUGGGGUGUUUUUUUUUAUUAGGUUUAUAGAUAAUUGUCAUUUGUAGGGGUUGGUAACAAGUUAUUAUAGAGUUGGGGGUGGAACAAUAGAGAUUAAACUCAGGGAUCUCCUUUGUAAUAUAAAAAAGGAGGAUAGACAUGAUAGGAUUAAAAGGCAGACUAUCAGUUUUAAAUAAUUUACAUUGGUAUGGAUU
Peromyscus maniculatus bairdii (prairie deer mouse) is the source of this 1317-nucleotide non-coding RNA. Lineage: Eukaryota; Metazoa; Chordata; Mammalia; Rodentia; Cricetidae. The record is from RefSeq and is a predicted model, not a curated record.